RNAcentral lists this ribosomal RNA (180 nucleotides) under uncultured Glomeromycotina. Its description in RNAcentral is "partial small subunit ribosomal RNA". The record is from RNAcentral. Lineage: Eukaryota; Fungi; Glomeromycota.
GACCUGGUUGGGUGGUCCGCCUCACGGUGUGUACUGCUCGACUGGGCCUUACCUCUUGGUGAUCCGUCGUGCCCUUUACUGGGUGCGUUGGGGAACCAGGACCUUUACCUUGAGAAAAUUAGAGUGUUCAAAGCAGGCCUACGCCCGAAUACAUUAGCAUGGAAUAAUAAAAUAGGACGU